Molecule: ribosomal RNA, 450 nt
Filed under: uncultured bacterium
Lineage: Bacteria
Description: partial 16S ribosomal RNA
Rfam family: Bacterial small subunit ribosomal RNA
Source: RNAcentral
GUGGGGAAUAUUGGACAAUGGGCGAAAGCCUGAUCCAGCCAUGCCGCGUGUGUGAAGAAGGUCUUCGGAUUGUAAAGCACUUUAAGUUGGGAGGAAGGGCAGUAAGUUAAUACCUUGCUGUUUUGACGUUACCGACAGAAUAAGCACCGGCUAACUUCGUGCCAGCAGCCGCGGUAAUACGAAGGGUGCAAGCGUUAAUCGGAAUUACUGGGCGUCAAGCGCGCGUAGGUGGUUUUGUACGUUGGAGGUGAAAUCCCCGGGCUCAACCUGGGAACUGCCUCCAAAACUGCAUGACUAGAGUACGGUAGAGGGUAGUGGAAUUUCCUGUGUAGCGGUGAAAUGCGUAGAUAUAGGAAGGAACACCAGUGGCGAAGGCGACUACCUGGACUGAUACUGACACUGAGGUGCGAAAGCGUGGGGAGCAAACAGGAUUAGAUACCCGAGUAGUCC